GUGGGGAAUAUUGGACAAUGGGCGAAAGCCUGAUCCAGCAAUGCCGCGUGAGUGAUGAAGGCCCUAGGGUUGUAAAGCUCUUUUACCCGGGAUGAUAAUGACAGUACCGGGAGAAUAAGCUCCGGCUAACUUCGUGCCAGCAGCCGCGGUAAUACGAGGGGAGCUAGCGUUGUUCGGAAUUACUGGGCGUAAAGCGCGCGUAGGCGGUUUUUUAAGUCAGAGGUGAAAGCCCGGGGCUCAACCCCGGAAUAGCCUUUGAAACUGGAAAACUAGAAUCUUGGAGAGGUCAGUGGAAUUCCGAGUGUAGAGGUGAAAUUCGUAGAUAUUCGGAGGAACACCAGUGGCGAAGGCGGCUCACUGGCUCGAUACUGACGCUGAGGUGCGAAAGCGUGGGGAGCAAACAGGAUUAGAUACCCUUGUAGUCC
This 425-nucleotide ribosomal RNA is filed under the name uncultured bacterium. Its description in RNAcentral is "partial 16S ribosomal RNA". It matches the Rfam family "Bacterial small subunit ribosomal RNA", at positions 354 to 796 of the family's 1533-position model. The record is from RNAcentral.